RNAcentral lists this small nuclear RNA (27 nucleotides) under Arabidopsis thaliana (thale cress). Its description in RNAcentral is "snRNA_09270". Lineage: Eukaryota; Viridiplantae; Streptophyta; Magnoliopsida; Brassicales; Brassicaceae. The record is from RNAcentral.
UCCAUCGAUUAAUCGUAUUGAGAAAUU